This 834-nucleotide ribosomal RNA is filed under the name Triticum aestivum (bread wheat). RNAcentral's name for it is "partial small subunit ribosomal RNA". The record is from RNAcentral. Lineage: Eukaryota; Viridiplantae; Streptophyta; Magnoliopsida; Poales; Poaceae.
AUGAGGGGCCUUAAGUUGUCAGCGGCAGAGAAGAAGGGGCUGAAGCUGUCGGAAGUGGAGCCGGAGAAGGUGCUAGACUGGGCGGUGGAGGAACCACAAGCGGUGGGGAAGCUGUUCUCGGAGAAACUAGCACAUGCGAGUGUGAUUGGGAACACGUUGGGUAAGAUUUGGUGCCCGGUCAAGGGGCUAGGGUGUAAGGAGAUCGAAGAAAAUGUUUUCUUGUUCACGUCCCGGCAAUCGGCGGGGUGGAGAAGGGCUUUGGAGGAUGGACAAUGGUGGUUCGGUAAGGAGCUGUUGGUAAUGGAAGACUUUGACCCUAAUAAAACAGUGGACGCGUACGACUUUAAUCUGAUCCCCAUGUGGGUUCGGGUCUUUGGACUGCCACUUGGCUCCAUGAACAGGCAAACAGGUGAAUUGAUUGGGAGGGACUUCCACGAGCUGCUAGAAGUGGAUGUUGGUCAUGAUGGGAAGGCUGUGGGAAAAUUCCUGAGAAUAAAGGUUAAGGUCAAUAUUGAGCAGCCUCUGAUGCGGGGUUUCUUGUUGGACAGAGAGAAAGAGAAAGGAGAUGUUGACGCAGUAAUGGAUGGUCCGGCACCAAGUAAGAAGAAGAAGAAAGUUCUCUGGUGCAGGUUUGAAUAGGAGUAUCUACCGGAUUUCUGCUACACCUGCGGGAUUGUAGGGCAUUGUGAGAAAGAAUGCAUGAACAAGACUCUGAAAGGGGAAUCACCUCAGUUUGGGCCCUGGUUAAGAGCGGAGGAGAAUGGUAGGGGGACGGAGGAAGGAGGUAGAGGGAGAUGGGAGGAGGGUAGGGGGAGUGGUGGUAGUAGGAGCUAG